AACGAACGCUGGCGGCAGGCUUAACACAUGCAAGUCGAGCGCCCCGCAAGGGGAGCGGCAGACGGGUGAGUAACGCGUGGGAACCUACCCUUUUCUACGGAAUAACGCAUGGAAACGUGUGCUAAUACCGUAUACGCCCUACGGGGGAAAGAUUUAUCGGAGAAGGCAGGGCCAGCGUUGGAUUAGCUAGUUGGUGGGGUAAAGGCCUACCAAGGCGACGAUCCAUAGCUGGUCUGAGAGGAUGAUCAGCCACAUUGGGACUGAGGCACGGCCCAAACUCCUACGGGAGGCAGCAGUGGGGAAUAUUGGACAAUGGGCGCAAGCCUGAUCCAGCCAUGCCGCGUGAGUGAUGAAGGCCCUAGGGUUGUAAAGCUCUUUCACCGGAGAAGAUAAUGACGGUAUCCGGAGAAGAAGCCCCGGCUAACUUCGUGCCAGCCGCCGCAGUAA
This 447-nucleotide ribosomal RNA is filed under the name uncultured bacterium. RNAcentral describes it as "partial 16S ribosomal RNA". It matches the Rfam family "Bacterial small subunit ribosomal RNA", at positions 29 to 523 of the family's 1533-position model. The record is from RNAcentral.